Molecule: long non-coding RNA, 1957 nt
Filed under: Aedes aegypti (yellow fever mosquito)
Lineage: Eukaryota; Metazoa; Arthropoda; Insecta; Diptera; Culicidae
Description: lncRNA AAEL024760
Source: RNAcentral
ACUCAAGAUUUUCACUUGGUCCACUCUGACUGAACGCAUAUUUGAAUAUUUCUGGUCUUCAAUGCCCUGACUCUGAAAAACCUUAAUCUUCAAGCUAUCGUAUGGCCACUGAUUUCGAUAUUGACGAUAUGGAUUAUUGAAGAAUUCACGAUUCUGGUGUCCAAGGGUCUUGAUAAUCUUUUUUUCUUAGAGAUAUGCACCCAGUUUGACCAUGUGUUACAUUAUAGACAUUAUGUAUUAGCAUUGAGUAGCAUUUGUUAUGCGUGCAAACUUUAUAGCAUAAAUUCCAAACGAAAACAUCCAAACUCACUGGGUACUUUAUCUUGAAAACAAAUAUGAUAGUGAAAAUCUGUCAUCCACUGAACAAACAUCUACCGCAUCCGUUCGUCCUCACACACCGACACUCGUCAAUGGCUGUGAGGAGUAUUGAAUUGACCGGCGUGGUGAGAAGUCAGUUCCCUGUCCGCCGGAGUGAAGCCAGUUUAAAAGUGUGUUUUAAAAACCGCCUAGAAAGUCAACUAAGGCUGCAUUUAGUUUUGACGACCAUCCCAGUAGUGGAAUCCCACGGAAUCAAAUACCACUCUAAAAGGUAAAUUUGUCCAGAGCGGUACUGCGUAGGAUUGACGCAGAAAAUUUGGCGGAAGAAGGAAAGUGGCGGAUAGUCCAACAGAAGGGGAGUCCUCCGCCGAAUGCAAUGGCCAAUCCGUUAAUGAGAUGAUUAAUCUUAGGGAAACCAGGCGUGAACCCUAAAAGUAUCGUCGGGAUUCAUUUGGCGACACCAACGAGACGCCCACGUGCAAAUCCAAUACGGAGAGCAAGGCACGUCCAAGCCAGUCAGCACAUCAAACGAAACACGGACGGAAUCAUUGACUCCGAGCACGCACGUCGGUCCUCGAGCUGUUGGACGGUCUUAAUCAGCUUAACUGCAACUAGCACCUACAGAGGGAUACCAGCACGGAAGGCUCGCCGACGACGGCACUAGACAGUAUCGUCUCCAAUUGCGCGGUGACUCACGACCACCGAAUACUGCGGUAAUCACCUUCGUAAGUCAUUUUCAUCGCAAAAACCUGCAGAUGGAUUAACGAAGUGCUCUCCUUACAGAUCCAUCCAUCUCAUUAAAAGCUAGAUUGGCCAUCGGCCGUCUGCGAGAGUUGUGCAGGACAGAAAAGCCUUCCACUGGAAGGCUUUUCUUUCUCUUAUUACAGUUUCGAAGCUUUCGGAGUGCAGUCAGAUCGGACGUCUGUGUGCAAUCGGACGCAGGGAGCGGAUCACCCCGUUACGGCAGCGAACCGUUGAUGCGAAAGGGUAAGGGACGCUCAGGAAUCUCCAGACCACUCACCAUCAGUAGGCGCCAAUCUCCCCAGUGAACCACGUAUCGUAUAAGAAUGUGCAUACAAAAUCACAUAUUCGCACGUCAGAAAUCAGAAUCGCACAAGAUGCCAAAUAAAGCGCUAUCAAUGUCAACACAAGUUGUAAAUAAAUACUCAAUACGAUUCAUACACGACAAACUGUGUUGGCAACACAACAUGUCGUAAAUAGUGCAACAUAGAAUUGUGUUAAAUUGUACAAACUUUGGACGUCAUAUUUAAAUCAUCCCAUAUUUUAUUUUACGUUACGGCCAGCGCUUUAUUUUGAGAGCAUAAAAGCGAUCCACAAAUCAGUUAGGCUGUAUUAUAAGUGAUUUCUUAUGGAUUACUUUCCCGCAAAACAAAGCACUAACAGGUCAUUUAAUCUUUUCACCGAACAAAUUGGUGCGCUCUUAAGUUCAUUUGGUGCUUAAACUUGGAGAUUUUAUUAAAUUUAUUUCCAUCGGCAGACGAAAAUAUCAGACUCGCCCUUAUUUCAUUUCAUUCCACUCGUUGUUUUGUACCCGUCAACGCCGCAAUAAAAUUCCGAUCUGCCAUAGUGAAAAAUUGUGCCGGCAGCGGUGGAUGGCCCCAUUGUUUACGUUGCAAGU